Molecule: long non-coding RNA, 296 nt
Organism: Fundulus heteroclitus (mummichog)
Lineage: Eukaryota; Metazoa; Chordata; Actinopteri; Cyprinodontiformes; Fundulidae
Exons: 3
Source: RefSeq, a predicted model, not a curated record
CGUCUUCACAACUCGGAGACAAAUUGCAGGCGCUAUGAACCGGAGCAAGGCGGUGACCUCCUAUUUGCUCGGAGCAAUAUCUGCAAGUCCAGAUUUUCACGAUGUUGAUAAAGACGACAUUGUGUCCGCCUGUAAGAUAUGAGACGGUACGCAGGACAGUACGAAGCCAGAAAACUCAUUGCGGGCGGAAGCUGCGGUUCAGCUCGAGCGAGAAGAAAGAAGCUGCUGGAAUCGAGACAGAGCGUGCUAGCGGAUGACGAGGUGGAACUCUGUAAGUCGGCCUCAUGCUUGACGAA